Molecule: ribosomal RNA, 240 nt
Filed under: uncultured Thauera sp.
Lineage: Bacteria; Pseudomonadati; Pseudomonadota; Betaproteobacteria; Rhodocyclales; Zoogloeaceae
Description: partial 16S ribosomal RNA
Rfam family: Bacterial small subunit ribosomal RNA
Source: RNAcentral
UGAGACUGCCGGUGACAAACCGGGAGGAAGGUGGGGAUGACGUCAAGUCCUCAUGGCCCUUAUGGGUAGGGCUUCACACGUCAUACAAUGGUCGGUACAGAGGGUUGCCAAGCCGCGAGGUGGAGCCAAUCCCUUAAAGCCGAUCGUAGUCCGGAUCGUAGUCUGCAACUCGACUACGUGAAGUCGGAAUCGCUAGUAAUCGCAGAUCAGCAUGCUGCGGUGAAUACGUUCCCGGGUCUU